Molecule: transfer RNA, 73 nt
Filed under: Felis catus (domestic cat)
Lineage: Eukaryota; Metazoa; Chordata; Mammalia; Carnivora; Felidae
Also listed under: 2 other names
Rfam family: tRNA
About the family: Transfer RNA (tRNA) molecules are approximately 80 nucleotides in length. Their secondary structure includes four short double-helical elements and three loops (D, anti-codon, and T loops). Further hydrogen bonds mediate the characteristic L-shaped molecular structure. tRNAs have two regions of fundamental functional importance: the anti-codon, which is responsible for specific mRNA codon recognition, and the 3' end, to which the tRNAs corresponding amino acid is attached (by aminoacyl-tRNA synthetases). tRNAs cope with the degeneracy of the genetic code in two manners: having more than one tRNA (with a specific anti-codon) for a particular amino acid; and 'wobble' base-pairing, i.e. permitting non-standard base-pairing at the 3rd anti-codon position.
Source: Rfam by way of RNAcentral
ACCUGGCUGGCUCAGUCAGUGGAGCACGCGACUUUUGAUCUCAAGGUUGUAAGUUCGAGCCUCAUGUUGGGUA